This 468-nucleotide ribosomal RNA is filed under the name uncultured bacterium. RNAcentral's name for it is "partial 16S ribosomal RNA". It matches the Rfam family "Bacterial small subunit ribosomal RNA", at positions 28 to 507 of the family's 1533-position model. The record is from RNAcentral.
GACGAACGCUGGCGGCGUGCUUAACACAUGCAAGUCGAACGGAAAGGCCCUGCUUUUGUGUGGUGCUCGAGUGGCGAACGUGUGAGUAACACGUGAGUAUCCUGCCCUUUACUUUGGGAUAUCUUCAGGAAACUGGUGCUAAUACCGGAUAGGAGCUCCUGCUGCAUGUUGGGGGUUGGAAAGUUUCGGCGGUUGGUGAUGGACUCGCGGCUUAUCAGCUUGUUUGUGGAGUAGUGGCUUACCAAGGGUUUGACGGGUAGCCGGCCUGAGAGGGUGACCGGCCAAAUUGGGACUGAGAUACGGACCAGAAGGCAACGGGAGGCAGCAGGGGGGAAUAGUGCACAAUGGGAGGAAGCCUGAUGCAGCAACGCCGCGUGCGGGAUGACGGCCUUCGGGUUGUAAACAGAUUUCGCAUGUGACGAAGCGUGAGUGACGGUAAUGGGUAAAGAAGCACCGGCUAACUACGUG